CCGACGAGUUGGUGAAGCGCGACUCCGACGAGUCCGGCUGGUACACCGAGUUGGUUGAGGCAGAGAAGAAGACGACGGCGAAGAAGAAGAAGGGGAGGCCGAGUGGCAGGGUGCAGGAGGGGGAGGCAGAGGCGCAGCCGGCGCCGGCGCCGGCGCCGCGCGUGUUCUUCUCCGUCGGCGUCGCCCCUCCUCCCGCCACCGCGCAGAAGCCGCCGACCAGCGAAUGGUGUAAUAGUGCAAAUGGUGUAAUGGUGUAAUGGUGCAAAUGGUGUAACGGUGUAAUGGUGCAAAAUUGUAAUGGUGUAAUGGUGCAAAU
This 316-nucleotide long non-coding RNA is filed under the name Ananas comosus (pineapple). Its description in RNAcentral is "long non-coding RNA (ACOM_LNC008143)". Lineage: Eukaryota; Viridiplantae; Streptophyta; Magnoliopsida; Poales; Bromeliaceae. The record is from RNAcentral.